CAGAUGGCAAUAGUAUCAGUGUGGAUGGAAGUGGAGGCUCAACAAUUUGAACCAGCAGCUUCAAAACUUAACUGGGAAAUAUUUUUUAAGCCAUUAUUUGGGCUGACCACGGAUGCAGCAGCAGUGGAGGAAAACGAAGCUAAGUUGGCUAAGGUUCUUGAUGUCUAUGAGUCACGGCUGGCUCAAUCAAAGUACUUGGCAGGCGACUCCUUCACCUUGGCAGAUAUGCACCACCUACCUAACUUACACUUGCUGUUCGUCACACAAAGCAAAAA
This 275-nucleotide unclassified non-coding RNA is filed under the name Hevea brasiliensis (rubber tree). Lineage: Eukaryota; Viridiplantae; Streptophyta; Magnoliopsida; Malpighiales; Euphorbiaceae. The record is from RNAcentral.